UCACACAAGAGACCCAAAUUAACUGUUAUGCGGCGUAAAGAGUGGUGCUAUGAUAUCAUAACAACUAGGAUUGAAAUGCAACUAGGCUGUCAUAAGCUCAAGAUGCACUUAAGGCCUCCCUUAAGAUGAUCCUAGCGUUCCCGAUUGAUUUAACCCCACGAAAGCUAGGGCACAAACUGGGAUUAGAUACCCCAUUAUGCCUAGCCCUAAAUCUUGAUGCUUGCCGUACCAAAGCAUCCGCCUGAGAACUACGAGCACAAACGCUUAAAACUCUAAGGACUUGGCGGUGCCCCAAACCCACCUAGAGGAGCCUGUUCUGUAAUCGAUAACCCACGAUCCACCCGACCACCCCUUGCCAAAGCAGCCUACAUACCGCCGUCGCCAGUUCACCUCCCCUGAGAGCCCCACAGUGAACACAAUAGCCCAAUCUCGCUAACAAGACAGGUCAAGGUAUAGCCUAUGGGGUGGAAGAAAUGGGCUACAUUUUCUACAAUAGAGUA
This 500-nucleotide ribosomal RNA is filed under the name Aethia cristatella. Its description in RNAcentral is "partial small subunit ribosomal RNA". It matches the Rfam family "Bacterial small subunit ribosomal RNA", at positions 521 to 1246 of the family's 1533-position model. The record is from RNAcentral. Lineage: Eukaryota; Metazoa; Chordata; Aves; Charadriiformes; Alcidae.